UUUGCAAUGACAUGGAUGGAGCUGAAGAGUAUCAUGCUGGGCGAAAUAAGCAAGUCAGAGACAGACAGACAUCAUAUGCUUUCACUCCGGUAGUCAUUUCAACGGUAAGAUUUUCAAUGUUUGUUUAUAUCCUUUAAAGAUGUGCCAUUUGGAUCCUCCGUGGUUUUGCCCUGAAAUUAUUAUAAGCUACAUUUACCUGCGCUAACACAGACCAAACCAUUUCCCAGUUUGUCAGCAUGUUUUUAUUUUAAUUUUGUUAUUUAUGCCGGUGUUGAAAUUGGUGGAGUAAGUUUCUAAAUGUAUUCUGGCUGUAAAUUUUGUUUUUUAAUUUUAAAAUCCAUUUUAGUUUCUCAAUAUGCCAGUCUCUGUUUCUGUUACACCAGGGCUGGAGGCAUCGUUCCCUCCCCCCACCCCGUAUCUAUUUAUUUUUAGCUUUUCCACAUGUCAUUCUGUAAUCCACCUAGAGUUUAUUUUGGUAUGUGGUCUAAGCUUUGCAUCUAAAUGUUUGUAUUCCAACAAGACCUAUUAAAAGACUAUUUAUUUUAUUUUUCCUUCCCCAAUGAACGUCUGAAAUCUGUCUCGUGGAAUGAGUGGCUGCCCUCUUCUCCACCAAGCACCUGGACAUACUGAAGUUUAUCCACCUGCACCCUUGAAUCCCUGGCGCCUGAGAGAGGGCUCCUCAUCCCAGGUCACACCGCAGGUAAGUGGCUACGGCCAAUAUUUAUUUACUUAAAAAAAAUGGUGGGUACUCUUUUCUGGUUGACCUGCUCUAAGCUGGCUUCCUGGUCGAUGUCACACUUCCCUGCCGUCCAGUGCCUGCUGGCAUUUGGUAGGUUGGGUAUAAAUGAAUGGUUCUGAACCUAUUAGCAAUAAUCAUAUGUACUGGCAGCAGAGAAUCACUACAGGAGGAUAAGGUGAGCAAACCUCUGUAGAGGGAGGGCCCGGGAAGGGGCGGGAAGUGACAGCAGCAGGCAAGGCAGCCCCCGCCCCCAUUGGCGCUGCACAUCCACAGGAAGCACGCCUGGCCCCUUGGCACACUCGUCACCCCCCCCCCCCUUGGGGGCGGAGGGGUAACUGUCUGGGUGGCAGUUUCCUGAGAGAAGGAUCUGGAUACGUAGUCUCCCUCCUCUCGCUCCUCUCUCUGCAAUCCACUUGUCUCCAGGGAGUUUCGUUUUGGGCGUUUGGCUUUUGUGCGCUUAGCAGGAGGGCUCGUCCCCUGGGAGGGGACCUCUCAGCUGUCAGAAUCGGGUUCUAGUGUUCGCUGUUAGGCAGCCCUGGUGCUCCACUCCUCAGCCGAGUCUCCCAACCCAGCAGUGAUCAAGUUGGCCUUUUCAUCUCCCGUUACCAAAGCCGUGCACCUGUCUUUGAGUCGGUUCCAAGUGUGGAUGGAUAUACUCGUGCCAUUGAUUUUUUCCACACCCCAACAGUAAUCCAAGAUUAGGAAUAAACAUCAUGGGGGGUGCCUGGACAGUGCAGUCAGUUGAGUGACCGACCUGGCUUUGGGUCAUGAUCUCACGGUUCAUGGGUUGAAGCCCUGCAUCAGGCUCUGCGCUGACAGCUCAGAGCCUGGAGCCUGCUUCAGAUACUCUGUCUCCCUCUCUAUCUGCCCCUCCCCUGCUCAUGCUCUCUCUCUCUCUCUGUCUUGAAAAUAAAUAAACAUUAAAAAAAUUAAAAGUAAACAACAAGCAUGACUGAAUAAUCCACUAAUGGUAAACACCAGUCCCAAUGAAAAAAUAGAGAAAGUAAACCCAGUGUGUUGAAGGACCCGCAUCUGUGGAGCUCUGUUGCAGUCUGUAUGGUAAGCAAAGUGUUUCUCCCCGUUUUGUGUCUUUCGGAUUUUAAGAUAAAUGGGUAUGAGUCAGCAUUUCUGUUUUUAGAGUCAAGGAGCAUUUGUGUGAGCCCCAACCUCUUAAUCAAGAAACGCUGGAAGUCUUUCUAACAGGUCUCCCCUCAUUUUUUAUUCUGCUGUCUGUUGCUGUGGAUUACCACACCUCAUUCUGGAGAGAGCAAAAAAAGGCAGGUUUUUCAAAAGUCAGGAAAUCUCACAAAUAGUAUUUCCAGAAAAGAUCUUAAUUCUACCCCAUUUCAAUUGCCUCCAUGUAACAGAAAUGACCAGACUCUGUUCCGGGGUCUUUCCACAAAGCUGGUCAGUGGAAUUCAGUCUUGAGAGCCAAGUCCAUUAACACACGCUCCCGAGCCAUUUGUCUGGCACUGACCUUGGGUGGACGCUCCUGUGUGGCUUACCUCGAAGACAUCUUCUUUCUAAAAUUCUAUCCUCUUCUUUAAAGACUUGAUCAGAUGGCGGUUAUGAAGGCAAGGACACAUGGAAGAAUGCCACUUUCCUCGACAGAUGAGACAGGUCCAAGAAGACAAUUUUUUCUUUAAGUGGGGUCGCUUUUUUUCCGAACAAGGCUUGCAUCCAUAGUAAUUUUAUGCUACAAUGUGAAUAAUGGAUCUGGAAAACCUUUCUUUCCAGGACAGACGUAUAUAUACGAGGCAUUUUUUCCCCCUGCUAUUCAAUAAUGAUUAUUUUGAUUACACAGAGAAGUUCUUAGGUAAGUGGAAUAAUAUAAAAUCAAUGUGAAAAAAAGGUAAAAAUGUGUUUUUUGGGGGUAUUAGACGACGGUGAAACAGGUAAUGUGUGUGUGUGUGUGUGUGUGUGUGUGUGUGUGUGUGUGUUGAAUAACGCAGAGUAAAGUUAUCCUAAUUCCAUUCAUCAAUUAAUUUAAUUUUGAUUCCACGUUAACCUCCUUUACUCAGUUCCUCUCCCCACCGCCACCCCCCCCCCCCAAUCCCUGUAAGGAAGCCCUGUGAAUGCCCCAGACAUGAGGCUAUGAGAGCUUGGCUGAGCUCCUGCGUCUGGGGAUUACUUUCCAGAUUUAUUUGCGGGGUGUCUGUGCCGGGCAAGUCUUAGCUUUCGCAAAAGACUAAUUACUCUUUGUACCUUUUAACAUUAAAAUGCAUCUGAGACCUUGCCUCCAUUUAACACAACUCUGAGGCAUACCUUAUUCAGCAGAAGCAACGGGGGCCCCUGUCGCCAAGGCUUAGCAGAUAAGAAGAUUAGGACAACGUAUUUUAACUUUCAUUUCUUUGAUGCAAAAGAGCUUCUAAGGGCCAUGCUGAUGACUCAUAUGGGCCGACACAGGGGAUGGGAGAGAGGACAGGAGGGGAGCUGUCUGGUGUACAGAAGGCCUCCAAGUUACAUUAAUCACUGAAGAGCUCUGAGCUGUUGUAGAGCCUUCUGGAGGCAAAAGGAACUGUUCACGGCCAUGGUCCUGGGGGAACUGAAGGCCAGGUUCGGGGAGAUGCUUUUCUGAAGAAGCAACACUGUAUUCACCUGUUCUCACCCACCUCCUCCCCUGCAAGGAUCCAGCGCAACCCCGGGGCAAGGGCUAAGACAACAGCGGUUGCAGAUUGGGAGUGUGGAGAAUUCGCUCUUUGUGCAUGCGUGCUAUUGGCCAGUGUCCCCAGCUCCUGUCCGGCUGUGCCCUCACUCCCCGACGCCACCAGGUGCACCGUCAGUGAGGCCCCACGCACAAGGGACAUGUGGGUCUCUGUUCAGAAAGCAGAACUUGCUGUGAAAGGUGAUAAUAAAAUGCAAAGCUCUUCCCUUCUUGA
This is a long non-coding RNA of Acinonyx jubatus (cheetah), 3618 nucleotides long. RefSeq lists it as uncharacterized. The transcript has 2 exons. The record is from RefSeq and is a predicted model, not a curated record. Lineage: Eukaryota; Metazoa; Chordata; Mammalia; Carnivora; Felidae.